CUGGUUCACCAUAUUCCACCGGGUUUAAUGUUGCAGAAAGAGAGCUGUGGCAUGAAAAACCACGGAUAAUAAUAACAUCAAACUAGAAAAAAUUAGUCCCUUCGGCCAGAUCUAAAGGUCGACUUCCUUGCCUUGGCCUGAGGACUGGUGAAACAACUCCAGAUAGCUCUGAGCUAGCGUUUAACUAUCAGAUUCCGCAAGGGACUGUCGUAUUCGAUGCUGCCAUUUUUGGUCGUUGCCCUGGAUGAUGAAGCAGGACAAGUCAGAGCGGACUCCUGGGUCCCAAGGCAGCCUGAUUGCGAGCUGAUGCACGGGUGAAGACAGAAAACAUAGAUUCAAACAAGAGGGGGUAAAUAUAUAUGCCAGCUACUUGUUCACAUGC
This 382-nucleotide small RNA is filed under the name Histoplasma capsulatum. RNAcentral describes it as "hypothetical RNA". The record is from RNAcentral. Lineage: Eukaryota; Fungi; Ascomycota; Eurotiomycetes; Onygenales; Ajellomycetaceae. RNAcentral also lists the same sequence under 1 other name.